GGUCUUGUAGCUCAAUGGUAGAGCAUCGGUCUGUUAAACCGAGGGUUGGUGGUUCGAGCCCACCCGAGACCG
This 72-nucleotide transfer RNA is filed under the name Caudoviricetes sp. RNAcentral describes it as "tRNA-Asn". It matches the Rfam family "tRNA". From Rfam's summary of the family: Transfer RNA (tRNA) molecules are approximately 80 nucleotides in length. Their secondary structure includes four short double-helical elements and three loops (D, anti-codon, and T loops). Further hydrogen bonds mediate the characteristic L-shaped molecular structure. tRNAs have two regions of fundamental functional importance: the anti-codon, which is responsible for specific mRNA codon recognition, and the 3' end, to which the tRNAs corresponding amino acid is attached (by aminoacyl-tRNA synthetases). tRNAs cope with the degeneracy of the genetic code in two manners: having more than one tRNA (with a specific anti-codon) for a particular amino acid; and 'wobble' base-pairing, i.e. permitting non-standard base-pairing at the 3rd anti-codon position. Lineage: Duplodnaviria; Heunggongvirae; Uroviricota; Caudoviricetes. The record is from RNAcentral.